CCUACGGGCGGCUGCAGUGGGGAAUAUUGGACAAUGGGGGCAACCCUGAUCCAGCCAUGCCGCGUGUGUGAAGAAGGCCCUCGGGUUGUAAAGCACUUUCAGUGAGGAAGAACGCCUGGUGGUUAAUACCCAUCAGGAAAGACAUCACUCACAGAAGAAGCACCGGCUAACUCCGUGCCAGCAGCCGCGGUAAUACGGAGGGUGCGAGCUGUUAAUCGGAAUUACUGGGCGUAAAGCGCGCGUAGGUGGCUUGAUAAGCCGGUUGUGAAAGCCCCGGGCUCAACCUGGGAACGGCAUCCGGAACUGUCAAGCUAGAGUGCAGGAGACGAAGGUAGAAUUCCCGGUGUAGCGGUGAAAUGCGUAGAGAUCGGGAGGAAUACCAGUUGCGAAGGCGGCCUUCUGGACUGACACUGACACUGAGGUGCGAAAGCGUGGGUAGCAAACAGGAUUAGAUACCCUGGUAGUC
RNAcentral lists this ribosomal RNA (466 nucleotides) under Vreelandella stevensii. RNAcentral describes it as "partial 16S ribosomal RNA". It matches the Rfam family "Bacterial small subunit ribosomal RNA", at positions 338 to 795 of the family's 1533-position model. Lineage: Bacteria; Pseudomonadati; Pseudomonadota; Gammaproteobacteria; Oceanospirillales; Halomonadaceae. The record is from RNAcentral.